GGAGUAACGCGUGGGUAACCGUGCCUCAUACAGGGGGAUAACAGUUAGAAAUGACUGCUAAUACCGCAUAAGCGCACAGUGCUGCAUGGCACAGUGUGAAAAACUCCGGUGGUAUGAGAUGGACCCGCGUCUGAUUAGCUAGUUGGUGGGGUAACGGCCUACCAAGGCGACGAUCAGUAGCCGGCCUGAGAGGGUGAACGGCCACAUUGGGACUGAGACACGGCCCAA
Molecule: ribosomal RNA, 228 nt
Filed under: uncultured bacterium
Lineage: Bacteria
Description: partial 16S ribosomal RNA
Rfam family: Bacterial small subunit ribosomal RNA
Source: RNAcentral